This 253-nucleotide ribosomal RNA is filed under the name uncultured bacterium. RNAcentral's name for it is "partial 16S ribosomal RNA". It matches the Rfam family "Bacterial small subunit ribosomal RNA", at positions 524 to 776 of the family's 1533-position model. The record is from RNAcentral.
AACGUAGGGGGCAAGCGUUGCCCGGAUUUACUGGGCGUAAAGCGGGUGUAGGCGGUCCUCUAAGUCAGAUGUGAAAUCCUACGGCUCAACCGUGGAACUGCAUCUGAUACUGGAGGACUUGAGGACGGUAGAGGUCGGUGGAAUCCCCGGUGUACCGGUGAAAUGGGCAGAUAUCGGGGGGAACACCAGUGGCGAAGGCGGCCGACUGGGCCGAUCCUGACGCUGAGACACGAAAGCUAGGGUAGCGAACCGG